ACAGGCUUAACACAUGCAAGUCGAGGGGUAGCAGGGUAGCAAUACCGCUGACGACCGGCGCACGGGUGAGUAACACGUAUCCAACCUUCCCAUAACUCGGGGAUAGCCUUUCGAAAGAAAGAUUAAUACCCGACAGUACUUUUUUAGGGCAUCUUAGAAAAGUUAAAGAUUUAUUGGUUAUGGAUGGGGAUGCGUUCCAUUAGAUAGUUGGUGAGGUAACGGCUCACCAAGUCUUCGAUGGAUAGGGGUUCUGAGAGGAAGGUCCCCCACAUUGGUACUGAGACACGGACCAAACUCCUACGGGAGGCAGCAGUGAGGAAUAUUGGUCAAUGGGCGAGAGCCUGAACCAGCCAAGUAGCGUGAAGGAUGACGG
RNAcentral lists this ribosomal RNA (373 nucleotides) under uncultured Bacteroidales bacterium. RNAcentral's name for it is "bacterial SSU rRNA". It matches the Rfam family "Bacterial small subunit ribosomal RNA", at positions 42 to 414 of the family's 1533-position model. Lineage: Bacteria; Pseudomonadati; Bacteroidota; Bacteroidia; Bacteroidales. The record is from RNAcentral.